RNAcentral lists this ribosomal RNA (392 nucleotides) under uncultured bacterium. Its description in RNAcentral is "partial 16S ribosomal RNA". It matches the Rfam family "Bacterial small subunit ribosomal RNA", at positions 338 to 729 of the family's 1533-position model. The record is from RNAcentral.
CCUACGGGAGGCAGCAGUGGGGAAUAUUGCACAAUGGGCGAAACCCUGAUGCAGCGACGUCGCGUGAGUGAAGAAGGAAUUCGUUACGUUAAGCUCUAUCAGCAGGGGAGUAACACUGACCUAACGAUCAGCAUACGGUACCUUAGUAAGAAUCCCCGGCUAACUACGUGCCACCAGCCGCGGUAUUACGGAGGGGGCAAGCGUUAUCCGGAUUUAAUGGGUGGAAAGGGAGCGUAGACGGGGGGCUAAGUCUGGUGUGAAAUGCUGCAGCUUAACUGCGGAACUGCAUUGGAAACUGGCGAUCUAGAGUGCGGGAGGGGUAAGCGGAAUUCCUGGUGUAGCGGUGAAAUGCAUAGAUAUCACGCAGAACUCCGAUUGCGAAGGCAGCAUAC